Sturnus vulgaris (Common starling) is the source of this 188-nucleotide non-coding RNA. The record is from RefSeq and is a predicted model, not a curated record. Lineage: Eukaryota; Metazoa; Chordata; Aves; Passeriformes; Sturnidae.
CUGAGCUGUGCCAAGCUGUGCUGAGUCAAGCUGUGCUGAGCUGAGCUGUGCCUUAGAGCUGUGCUGUGCUGAACUGAACUCACCUGUUCUGAACUGUGCCGAGCCGUGCCGAGCUGUGCCAUCCACCUGCACAGACGGUGUCCCUGGUGCCAUCCCAGCCCUGUGGCCGUGUCCCAUGGCUGUGACAG